GACGAACGCUGGCGGCGUGCUUAACACAUGCAAGUCGAACGGGCCCGCCCCUGUUUUUGGGGGUGGGUUGAGUGGCGAACGGGUGAGUAUCACGUGAGUAACCUGCCCCCUGCUCCUGGAUAACUUCUUGAAAGGGCGGCUAAUACGGGGUGUGCCGGCUGGUCCGCAUGGGCCGGGUCGGGUUGGUUUCUUCUUCGGUGGUUUCGGUGGGGGCGGGGUUCGCGCCCUUUCGGCUGGUUGGUGGGCGGAUGGCCCACCAAGCCGGUGACGGGUAGCCGGCCUGGGAGGGUGGGCGGCCAGACUGGGACUGAGGCACGGCCCAGACUCAGGCGGGAGGGAGCGGUGGGGGGUAUUGCGCAAGGGGCGGAAGCCUGAUGAAGCGACGGCGCGGGAGGGAUGGAGGCCUUCGGGUUGGGAACCUCUUUCUGCGGUGGUGAAGGCCGUGUGCGUUGCGGCGGGGUUGACGGUAGCCGGGUAUGAAGCGCCGGCUAACUACGUG
This 499-nucleotide ribosomal RNA is filed under the name uncultured bacterium. RNAcentral describes it as "partial 16S ribosomal RNA". It matches the Rfam family "Bacterial small subunit ribosomal RNA", at positions 28 to 507 of the family's 1533-position model. The record is from RNAcentral.